UGCUAAACACACAGCUUCUACUGGUUUCUGCACAUUUGUGUACUCCAAAUCAAAAUCACAGUGAUCAUUCUGGAAAUGGAAAUAUGAUUGCUGGAUCCACCUCUGAGCCCUGAACUUGUAUCAGGUAUGAAGAAAACUGGAACAAAAAAGAAUCUUCCUGGGUGAGAUUAUUCACAAGGAAACACUAAAUGAAUCAUAGUUUAUGAAAGAGGAAGAACCCUAGAGCAGGU
RNAcentral lists this long non-coding RNA (230 nucleotides) under Dromaius novaehollandiae (emu). RNAcentral's name for it is "lncRNA (ENSDNVG00000018340.1)". Lineage: Eukaryota; Metazoa; Chordata; Aves; Casuariiformes; Dromaiidae. The record is from RNAcentral.